GAGGGGAUAUAAUGGAAAGUUCAGUGCGUAUUCUUACUUUUUGAGUUUGUUGACUUUUGAGACUUGAGAGAGAUGGAGAUUUUUCCUGCUCCGUUGGUAAAGAGUAAAACAUAAGACAAGACAACCUUAAACUUAGAAGGUUCAAGUAAUGGGAGCAGUCAGGAUUGUACUCAGAGUUGUAUCACGAGUGGUACGAGCUGUUGUUGUCUCCUUCUAUCACAAGUUCUUCUAUCUUUUUUUUGACCAUAUAUGGCUUCUUCAUCUCAAAACACUGAAUCAUUUGAUGAUGCAUUUGAUCAAAUGUUUGUUUAAAAAUUUGAUCAAAUGUUUGAAAAUUUGGCCAUUUUUUUUAAGAACCCAUGAAUAAGAUGCUUGCAUUGGAGGAGAUUUAUUAAAAGUUGCUUAGGAAAAUUGCUUAACA
Raphanus sativus (radish) is the source of this 421-nucleotide long non-coding RNA. RefSeq lists it as uncharacterized. The transcript has 2 exons. The record is from RefSeq and is a predicted model, not a curated record. NCBI's taxonomy places the organism in Eukaryota, Viridiplantae, Streptophyta, Magnoliopsida, Brassicales, Brassicaceae.